CAGCAGCCGCGGGAAUACGUAGGGUGCAAGCGUUAAUCGGAAUUACUGGGUGUAAAGCGUGCGCAGGCGGUUUGUUAAGACAGAUGUGAAAUCCCCGGGCUCAACCUGGGAACUGCAUUUGUGACUGGCAAGCUAGAGUGUGGCAGAGGGGGGUGGAAUUCCGCGCGUAGCAGUGAAAUGCGUAGAUAUGCGGAGGAACACCGAUGGCGAAGGCAGCCCCCUGGGCCAACACUGACGCUCAUGCACGAAAGCGUGGGGAGCAAACAGGAUUAGAUACCCCCGUAGUCCCUGUCUCUUAUAA
RNAcentral lists this ribosomal RNA (301 nucleotides) under uncultured bacterium. RNAcentral's name for it is "partial 16S ribosomal RNA". It matches the Rfam family "Bacterial small subunit ribosomal RNA", at positions 509 to 809 of the family's 1533-position model. The record is from RNAcentral.